This 676-nucleotide ribosomal RNA is filed under the name Amaricoccus sp. HAR-UPW-R2A-40. RNAcentral's name for it is "Bacterial large subunit ribosomal RNA". It matches the Rfam family "Bacterial large subunit ribosomal RNA", at positions 187 to 901 of the family's 2925-position model. Lineage: Bacteria; Pseudomonadati; Pseudomonadota; Alphaproteobacteria; Rhodobacterales; Paracoccaceae. The record is from Rfam by way of RNAcentral.
GGGGAACUGAAACAUCUCAGUACCCGCAGGAAAGGAAAUCAACCGAUACUCCGUCAGUAGCGGCGAGCGAACGCGGACCAGCCGAGCCCUGAGAGGUAGCAGAACCAGUUGGGAAACUGGGCGACAUGGGUGAUAGCCCCGUAUGCGAAAACUCGAUGGGCCACAUUAAGUAGGGCGGGACACGUGAAAUCCUGUCUGAAGAUCGGGGGACCACCCUCGAAGGCUAAGUACUCCUUGCUGACCGAUAGCGCACUAGUACCGUGAGGGAAAGGUGAAAAAGCACCCCGACAAGGGGAGUGAAACAGUUCCUGAAACCGGACGCCUACAAACAGUCGGAGCCUACCGUGGACCUUCGGGUCAAUGGAUUGGUGACGGCGUACCUUUUGUAUAAUGGGUCAACGACUUGGUCUUACUAGCAAGCUUAAGCCGUUAGGUGUAGGCGCAGCGAAAGCGAGUCUGAAUAGGGCGCAUGAGUUAGUAGGAUCAGACCCGAAACCGAGUGAUCUAGGCAUGUCCAGGAUGAAGGUUCGGUAAUACGAACUGGAGGUCCGAACCCACACCUGUUGAAAAAGGUCGGGAUGAGGUGUGCCUAGGGGUGAAAGGCCAAUCAAACUCGGAGAUAGCUGGUUCUCCGCGAAAUCUAUUUAGGUAGAGCGUCAGACGAAUACUCCCGGGG